Molecule: ribosomal RNA, 553 nt
Filed under: uncultured Nitrososphaerota archaeon
Lineage: Archaea; Thermoproteati; Nitrososphaerota
Description: bacterial SSU rRNA
Rfam family: Archaeal small subunit ribosomal RNA
Source: RNAcentral
ACGGGGCGCAGCAGGCGCGAAACCUUCGCAAUGUGCGAAAGCACGACAAGGUUAAUCCGAGUGUCUCCUGCUAAAGGAGUCUUUUGUCAGUUGUAGAAUCACUGAUGAAUAAGGGGUGGGCAAGUUCUGGUGUCAGCCGCCGCGGUAAAACCAGCACCUCGAGUGGUCAGGAGGUUUAUUGGGCCUAAAGCAUCCGUAGCCGGUUGCAUAAGUUUUCGGUUAAAUCUAUGCGCUCAACGUAUAGGCCGCCGAAAAUACUGUGCAGCUAGGGAGUGGGAGAGGUACACGGUACUCAAUAGGAAGGGGUAAAAUCCUUUGAUCUAUUGAUGACCACCUGUGGCGAAGGCGGUCUACCAGAACACGUUCGACGGUGAGGGAUGAAAGCUGGGGGAGCAAACCGGAUUAGAUACCCGGGUAGUCCCAGCUGUAAACUAUGCAAACUCAGUGACGCAUUGGCUUGUGGCCAACGCAGUGCUGCAGGGAAGCCGUUAAGUUUGCCGCCUGGGAAGUACGUACGCAAGUAUGAAACUUAAAGGAAUUGGCGGGGGAGCAC